CCUACGGGCGGCUGCAGUGGGGAAUAUUGGACAAUGGGGGAAACCCUGAUCCAGCAAUGCCGCGUGCGUGACGAAGGCCUUCGGGUUGUAAAGCGCUUUCGCCCGCGACGAUGAUGACGGUAGCGGGAGAAGAAGCCCCGGCUAACUCCGUGCCAGCAGCCGCGGUAAUACGGAGGGGGCUAGCGUUGUUCGGAAUUACUGGGCGUAAAGCGCACGUAGGCGGAUCGUUAAGUCGGGGGUGAAAUCCUGGAGCUCAACUCCAGAACUGCCUUCGAUACUGGCGAUCUUGAGUCCGGAAGAGGUGAGUGGAACUCCUAGUGUAGAGGUGGAAUUCGUAGAUAUUAGGAAGAACACCAGUGGCGAAGGCGGCUCACUGGUCCGGUACUGACGCUGAGGUGCGAAAGCGUGGGGAGCAAACAGGAUUAGAUACCCGAGUAGUC
Molecule: ribosomal RNA, 440 nt
Filed under: uncultured bacterium
Lineage: Bacteria
Description: bacterial SSU rRNA
Rfam family: Bacterial small subunit ribosomal RNA
Source: RNAcentral